GACGAACGCUGGCGGCGUGCCUAAUACAUGCAAGUUGAGCGAUGAAGAAUGGUGCUUGCACCAAUUUGAAGAGCAGCGAACGGGUGAGUAACGCGUGGGGAAUCUGCCUUUGAGCGGGGGACAACAUUUGGAAACGAAUGCUAAUACCGCAUAACAACUUUAAACAUAAGUUUUAAGUUUGAAAGAUGCAAUUGCAUCACUCAAAGAUGAUCCCGCGUUGUAUUAGCUAGUUGGUGAGGUAAAGGCUCACCAAGGCGAUGAUACAUAGCCGACCUGAGAGGGUGAUCGGCCACAUUGGGACUGAGACACGGCCCAAACUCCUACGGGAGGCAGCAGUAGGGAAUCUUCGGCAAUGGACGAAAGUCUGACCGAGCAACGCCGCGUGAGUGAAGAAGGUUUUCGGAUCGUAAAACUCUGUUGGUAGAGAAGAACGUUGGUGAGAGUGGAAAGCUCAUCAAGUGACGGUAACUACCCAGAAAGGGACGGCUAACUACGUG
This 497-nucleotide ribosomal RNA is filed under the name uncultured bacterium. RNAcentral describes it as "partial 16S ribosomal RNA". It matches the Rfam family "Bacterial small subunit ribosomal RNA", at positions 28 to 507 of the family's 1533-position model. The record is from RNAcentral.